CACAAUAGUGAGCGCAGCGCUGGCUUCUGGACGCUGCUGCUCGCUGUGCCGUCUUCUUUAAAGGAGAGGUCCUGUCCAACCUAUCCUGUGCAUAUUGUUUUAUGUCCUCAGAAAUGGGAUAUUGCUCAGUACAUCUCGCUAGGCUGAUUUCCUUUCUGUGGAGAUAUUAACUGAAAAAGUACUUUUCUCUUACCUUCACCCGGGAGGCCUGCUAUUAGAAUUCCCACACACAGUGAAACUCUGCUCUUGCAUCCCUGUAGUUGGCCCUGUAACUUUGACCUAGAAAAUGGAAGGAGAGGCCAUGGCACACACUCAAAUGGAGAUCAGAAGACAAUUUCCAGGAGUCUCUUCUCUCCUUUCCACCAUGUGGAUCCCAAGAAUUGAACUCAGAAGCACCAGCUCCACACCACCAGGAAUUGUACUGAGCCAUCUCUCCAACCCCAUACUGAUGAGCAUUUUGAUCGCAGGAAUCACAACAGCAGUCUGAACAAGUAGAAGCCAGCAACCUUGCCUUGUGGAUGCCUAGAAACAGAGACCCGAAAUAUGUCAAAUCUCUCUCUCUAUCUCUCUGAUACGUGUGUUCAUUAUCAUAAAUAGACCAAUUAACAAUAAUGUGCAUGUAAAAAUAUGUAAUCCCCUUCUACAUUUCCAACAGAACAGAAACCAAAAUAUGCCAGGCAUGGUGACACACACCUAUAAUCACAACACUUAGGAGGUAGAGGCAGGAGGAUUGUGAAUAUGAAGUCAUUCUCUGCUAUAUAACAUGUUCAAAGUUAACCUAAGCUAUUCAAGACCUAUCAAGGAAAACCAAGACAAAUAAAUAAGGCUGGGGGUGUAGCUUGGUUGGGAAAGUACUUUAAUAGGUUUUCUGCCACAAUAAUGUUUCUUCAUUGAAGUAGUAAGCCAGAUCAAGCUUAACUGAAAAAGCAUAACAACAGGUUUAUUGAGGGCAAAGCAACUCCCAGGCGGGUUCACUGGUCUCAGAGAUC
Peromyscus maniculatus bairdii (prairie deer mouse) is the source of this 989-nucleotide long non-coding RNA. RefSeq lists it as uncharacterized. The record is from RefSeq and is a predicted model, not a curated record. NCBI's taxonomy places the organism in Eukaryota, Metazoa, Chordata, Mammalia, Rodentia, Cricetidae.